Empidonax traillii (willow flycatcher) is the source of this 580-nucleotide long non-coding RNA. RefSeq lists it as uncharacterized. The transcript has 4 exons. NCBI's taxonomy places the organism in Eukaryota, Metazoa, Chordata, Aves, Passeriformes, Tyrannidae. The record is from RefSeq and is a predicted model, not a curated record.
CUCCCCCGGCCCUGCGCCCCCGCAGCUGUCGGGGAGCGGCCCGGGGAGGGGGCGGAAAGAAGUCACUCCCCUCCUGAGAGGUGUUGUCGUCCCCCUUUGGCUUUCGCCAGCUCCCCAGUGCGCACACUUGAGCCCGGCUCACCGGUCCCUGCCCUUGCUUCACCAGAGAUGUCCUUGACUGGGUUUGGAAUGGGGAGGGGAAAUACAAGCUUUUUAAUUAAAAUAGCUCAGGAGUAUUUCAGCAGCACUCCAGAUCCCUGUGUGUCUGUCCCCCCAGCAGUAAACACAUGGUGAAAAAUGAGCUGGGCAGUGUAGCCUGUGAAUAGGAUUUACCACUUGGAAGGAACCCAACACAGAGCAUGAGAAAGGCUGUUGUGGCACCUUUGUUCCUGUGAGCAGGAUGAACUCUUACAUCCUCUAGGACUUUGUGGCCUUGCAACAAUGGGGCAAGAAGUAAUAAAGUGGCAGAAAAUUUGGGAGUAGGGAGGAGAAAUCUAACUGUGAAUGUACUGGAAGACUGGAAUAGCUGGCCUGAAGAGAUUAAAGGUUGUCUGUUAUGAAAUUCUUUAGGAAGAAAAAA